GAUGUGAAAAAAAAAAAAAAAGAAGAGCUUGCUUCUUCUCAGCACUGAGUGGUGGUUGCGGCGGGGUUACGGUUCUGCUAGUCAAACAGCUAAACAGCUUUCCUCCUCCAGUGUCUGAAGAUCUGGUCUACACCCUCCCGGGCAUGCAGCCUUAGAAUUAAUGGUCAAGCUCCAUGAAGGCAGGCACUGGGAAGAAGAUUUGGACCCAAUUGAAGAAAGAAGUUCCUAACAGGAAUUGAGAAGGUGCCACCGACAGCCUUAAAAUUACAUCACAACAAAGACAGGACAGUUAAAACCAUGUACGUCAACUUGUGGGGGGAAUGCCAGAUUUGUGGAUCACGUGGCCUGGGGCAAAAGCUUCGACCUCACCCCUCGGGCAAACACAGUGGUGGCUACAUUGCACACGUCGGUCUGUAGUGAAUCAAGACCUCGAAAUUCUACAUGAGGAUAUCGAAUCUCUUCAAAUUGCAAAAAUAUUUUAGACACUCUUUCACCUCUUGAAACCCCUGCACCUAUUAUUGUAUCCUCUUCCUGAAACCCUUACAGCCUGUUUCAGGUAUAUAAUGCUGCAUAACAAAGUGCCCCACACAUAAUGCUUUAAAACCACAAAAAUCUUUAUUUUGCCCCCAAAUCUGCAAUUUAGGCUGGCUGAGAGGAAACAGUUCACCUCUGCUUCACUCAGUGUCAGCUGGGUGCCAUGAAGCCUGGGGGCUGGAAUUAGCCAAAGGUGGGCUCCUGGGCAUCUCCUUCUAGUGUGUGUGGCUUUUCCACGUGGUGUCUACAGCAUGGCAGCUUCAGGGUAGCCAGACUUCUUACCAGUCAGCUCAGGGCUCCCGAGGCAUGUAUCCCAAGAGAGAAAGAACCAAGGAGAAGUUGUAUUGCCUUUGGGUGACCUGGCCUCAGAAGUCAUAUGCAUCGCUUCUCUGCCCUCUCUGGGUGGAAGCAGUCACAGGCUGCCACCCAGAUUCAAGAGCAGGGAACACAGAACCCCCUACUUCCCCAUGUGAGGCAUGCCAGUCCCAUUGUGAGAGGAGCACGUGGGACGGGAGAUAUAUCAUGGUGAAUAUAUCUCUGAAAAGUAUAAUCUGUAUCCACUCUUUUUCUGUCUGAAAAACUCGUGCUUCAAGACCCAGCUCAAAUAUCACCUGCUUUAUAGAGCUCCCCGCCCAUCCCCGCCAUCUCCCUGAGGGCUAGUUACCUCCUCGAUGGGGCCUAAUUGCACCUGGUACAUCUGCCUUCAGAGCACUUAGCACCCUGAAAGGGUGCUGUCUGUCUCUUUCUGGAGACUGUGAACGGUGAGUUCUUCAAGGUCUGGAGCUGUGACAUGUAUUUCAAUGCUCCUAGCUUUCGGUCCUGGGGAGGUGCUUAGGAAAUAGACGUUGCUACAAGCUAGAUGGGGGUUCUCAUACCCUGGACUACCUGCAGCAGAAUGCCUGGGUGCUUAAUCAAAAUGCAGACUCCCAGAUCUGCAUCAAACCUGCUGCACUGACUCUUGGGGGCGGGGCCAUAGAAGCUACAUUUAUUCAACUCCUUGGAUGACUCCAAUGGGUAUCAACCUUUGCAAGCUAUUGUAUCCCCAAUGCCUAGUACCAUGCCUGGCACGUGCUUGCCACUCAAUAAAUACCUGCUGAAUGAAUAAGUGAGUGAAUGAAUAAAUAUUUUUAGACUCGACUAGGUACACAAGAGUCAGUUUGCUCU
This is a long non-coding RNA of Aethalodelphis obliquidens (Pacific white-sided dolphin), 1698 nucleotides long. RefSeq lists it as uncharacterized. The record is from RefSeq and is a predicted model, not a curated record. The transcript is spliced from 3 exons. NCBI's taxonomy places the organism in Eukaryota, Metazoa, Chordata, Mammalia, Artiodactyla, Delphinidae.